Molecule: microRNA precursor, 186 nt
Filed under: Oryza brachyantha (malo sina)
Lineage: Eukaryota; Viridiplantae; Streptophyta; Magnoliopsida; Poales; Poaceae
Description: MIR812 microRNA precursor family
Rfam family: MIR812 microRNA precursor family
Source: Rfam by way of RNAcentral
AAUAAACGAAUUUACGAGUUUUUGAUAGAAUUUUUGACUCUUUGUUUUAUCUGAAAUUUUUUAUGAUUAAUAUUUUUAGUGUUAUUACAUGAUACAAAAUAGUACUUUACGUAUGACUAUUUUUUAAUUUUUAAUAUUUUUUAAAUAAGACGGAUAGUCAAGCGCUCGAUACAGAAAACUCUUAAA